Molecule: small nuclear RNA, 110 nt
Organism: Thalassiosira oceanica
Lineage: Eukaryota; Bacillariophyta; Thalassiosirophyceae; Thalassiosirales; Thalassiosiraceae
Source: Rfam
GCCCAUCCUUCGGGAUGUGGCAUUAAACAAACGCUUUAAUAUACAGAGAAGAUUAGCAUGGUCCCUGUGCAAGGAUGACACGCAUAAUCGAAGAGAAGCAAAAACUUUUU